This 440-nucleotide ribosomal RNA is filed under the name uncultured bacterium. Its description in RNAcentral is "partial 16S ribosomal RNA". It matches the Rfam family "Bacterial small subunit ribosomal RNA", at positions 338 to 795 of the family's 1533-position model. The record is from RNAcentral.
CCUACGGGCGGCAGCAGUGGGGAAUAUUGCACAAUGGGGGAAACCCUGAUGCAGCGACGCCGCGUGAGUGAAGAAGUAUUUCGGUAUGUAAAGCUCUAUCAGCAGGGAAGAAAAUGACGGUACCUGAUUAAGAAGCCCCGGCUAACUACGUGCCAGCAGCCGCGGUAAUACGUAGGGGGCAAGCGUUAUCCGGAUUUACUGGGUGUAAAGGGGGCGUAGACGGCAGCACAAGUCUGGAGUGAAAUGCCGGGGCUUAACCCCGGAACUGCUUUGGAAACUGUGCGGCUAGAGUGCAGGAGGGGUAAGUGGAAUUCCUAGUGUAGCGGUGAAAUGCGUAGAUAUUAGGAGGAACACCAGUGGCGAAGGCGGCUUACUGGACUGUAACUGACGUUGAGGCUCGAAGGCGUGGGGAGCAAACAGGAUUAGAUACCCUUGUAGUC